GAAUUCGCCCUUAGAGUUGCCUUGGCUCAGGAUGAACGCUGGCGGCGUGCCUAACACAUUCAAGUCGAACGGACGAGAUACCUUCGGGUAUCAAGUUAGUGGCGGACGGGUGAGUAAAGCAUGAGCAACUUGCCUUUCAGAGGGGGAUAACAACGUGAAAACGUUGCUAAUACCGCAUAGACAUUAGGUGGGCAUCCACCAAAUGGGAAAGCAGCAAUGCGCUGAGAGAUGGGCUCAUGUCUGAUUAGAUAGUUGGUGAGGUAACGGCCCACCAAGUCUGCGAUCAGUAGCCGGACUGAGAGGUUGAACGGCCACAUUGGAACUGAGAAACGGUCCAGACUCCUACGGGAGGCAGCAGUGGGGAAUAUUGGGCAAUGGGGGAAACCCUGACCCAGCGACGCCGCGUGAAGGAAGAAGGUCUUCGGAUUGUAAACUUCUGUUUGUGGGGACGAAGAAAGUGACAUUACCCACAGAGAAAGCCACGGCUAACUACGUGCCAGCAGCCGCGGUAAUACGUAGGUGGCAAGCGUUAUCCGGAAUUACUGGGUGUAAAGGGUGAGUAGGCGGUACGGCAAGUCUGAUGUGAAAGCCCGGGGCUCAACCCCGGGACUGCAUUGGAAACUGUCGAACUAGAGUGUCGGAGGGGUAAGUGGAAUUCCUAGUGUAGCGGUGAAAUGCGUAGAUAUUAGGAGGAACACCAGUGGCGAAGGCGGCUUACUGGACGAUAACUGACGCUGAGGCUCGAAAGCGUGGGGAGCAAACAGGAUUAGAUACCCUGGUAGUCCACGCUGUAAACGAUGA
Molecule: ribosomal RNA, 801 nt
Filed under: uncultured bacterium
Lineage: Bacteria
Description: bacterial SSU rRNA
Rfam family: Bacterial small subunit ribosomal RNA
Source: RNAcentral